RNAcentral lists this transfer RNA (85 nucleotides) under Clostridia bacterium. RNAcentral's name for it is "tRNA-Leu". It matches the Rfam family "tRNA". Rfam says of the family: Transfer RNA (tRNA) molecules are approximately 80 nucleotides in length. Their secondary structure includes four short double-helical elements and three loops (D, anti-codon, and T loops). RNAcentral also lists the same sequence under 1 other name. Lineage: Bacteria; Bacillati; Bacillota; Clostridia. The record is from RNAcentral.
GCGAUCGUGGCGGAACUGGCAGACGCGCACGUUUGAGGGGCGUGUGGGAACACCCAUACGAGUUCAAGUCUCGUCGAUCGCACCA